This 780-nucleotide ribosomal RNA is filed under the name uncultured bacterium. Its description in RNAcentral is "bacterial SSU rRNA". It matches the Rfam family "Bacterial small subunit ribosomal RNA", at positions 97 to 916 of the family's 1533-position model. The record is from RNAcentral.
AGCACACGGGUGAGUAAUACGUAGGAAUCUGCCUAUAGGAGGGGGAUAAGUAAUUAGGAAACUAAUAACAAAUACCGCAUACAACAAAGGUGAAAACCGCCUGUAGAUGAGCCUGCGGAGGAUUAGGUAGUUGGUGAGGUAAUAGCUCACCAAGCCGAUGAUCCUUAGCUGGUCUGAGAGGAUGAUCAGCCACACUGGGACUGAGACACGGCCCAGACUCCUACGGGAGGCAGCAGUGGGGAAUAUUGGACAAUGGACGAAAGUCUGAUCCAGCAAUAUCGCGUGGGUGAUGAAGGCCCUUUUGGUUGUAAAGCCCUUUUGUCGAGGAGGAUAAUGACCGUACUCGAAGAAAAAGUCCCGGCUAACUCCGUGCCAGCAGCCGCGGUAAUACGGGGGGGACUAGUGUUAUUCGGAAUGACUGGGCGUAAAGGGUGUGUAGGCGGUUUUAAAAGUUGAAAGUGAAAUCCCAAGGCUUAACCUUGGAAGUGCUUUCAAAACUGGAAAACUAGAGUAUCAAUUAGGAUGGUGGAAUUUCUUGUGUAGAAAUAAAAUGCAUAGAUAUAAGAAGGAACGCCAAAAGCGAAGGCAGCUAUCUGGUUGAAUUGACUGACGCUGAGACACGAAAGCAUGGGGAGCAAACAGGAUUAGAUACCCUGGUAGUCCAUGCUGUAAACUAUGAGUGCUAAACGUUGGACUUAAGAGUUCAGUGUUGAAGCUAACGCAUUAAGCACUCCGCCUGGGGAGUACGACCGCAAGGUUGAAACUCAAAGGAAUUGACGG